AGUGAACGCUGGCGGUAGGCCUAACACAUGCAAGUCGAACGGCAGCACAGUAAGAGCUUGCUCUUACGGGUGGCGAGUGGCGGACGGGUGAGGAAUACAUCGGAAUCUACUUUUUCGUGGGGGAUAACGUAGGGAAACUUACGCUAAUACCGCAUACGACCUACGGGUGAAAGCAGGGGAUCUUCGGACCUUGCGCGAUUGAACGAGCCGAUGUCGGAUUAGCUAGUUGGCGGGGUAAAGGCCCACCAAGGCGACGAUCCGUAGCUGGUCUGAGAGGAUGAUCAGCCACACUGGAAGUGGGACAGGGUCCAGACUCCUACGGGACGCAGCAGUGGGGAAUAUUGGACCAUGGGCGCAAGCCUGGUCCAGCCAUACCGCGUGGGUGAAGAAGGCCUUCGGGUUGUAAAGCCCUUUUGUUGGGAAAGAAACGCAGCAGGUUAAUACCCCGCUGUUCUGACGGUACCCAAAGAAUAAGCACCGGCUAACUUCGUG
RNAcentral lists this ribosomal RNA (492 nucleotides) under uncultured bacterium. Its description in RNAcentral is "partial 16S ribosomal RNA". It matches the Rfam family "Bacterial small subunit ribosomal RNA", at positions 29 to 507 of the family's 1533-position model. The record is from RNAcentral.